This is an RNA transcript of Dama dama (fallow deer), 4081 nucleotides long. It is a transcript of the gene named RGP1 homolog, RAB6A GEF complex partner 1, with no coding region annotated. The record is from RefSeq and is a predicted model, not a curated record. Lineage: Eukaryota; Metazoa; Chordata; Mammalia; Artiodactyla; Cervidae. The transcript is spliced from 11 exons.
GCCGCAGCCACGCACUUGGCCCGGGCCCGGAGGGGCGGGCGGCCGGGGCCUUCGAGGCACCGAGUACCCUGUUUCAGUCUGGCCCCCCGUUUCGAUCUGAGGGGUAUCCGAGCUUGGGCGCGAGUGCCCGGUCAGCUGCCGCCGUACCUGCCUUCCGCCUUCCCGCGCUCCAAACCUGGGCGCUUCCCUCUGACACCGUGAUCCGAUCCCGGAGCUGCCAUGAUUGAAGUGGUGGCGGAGCUGAGCAGAGGUCCUGUGUUUCUGGCAGGGGAGGCGCUGGAGUGUGUGGUGACCGUCACCAACCCCCUGCCACCGACGGCCACUUCUGCGUCCAGUGAGGCUCUGGCCUGGGCCAGCGCCCAAAUCCACUGCCAGUUCCACGCCAGUGAGAGUCGAGUGGCAGUACCUCCGCCCGACUCCAGCCAGCCGGAUGCCCAGCCCGAGAGCCAGACUGUCUUUCUUCCACACCGAGGUGAGAGGGGUCAGUGUAUCCUUUCUACUCCACCAAAAAUCCUCUUCUGUGACCUGAGGCUAGACCCUGGAGAGUCCAAAUCAUACUCCUACAGCGAAGUGCUGCCUGUGGAGGGACCACCCUCGUUUCGGGGUCAGUCAGUCAAGUAUGUCUACAAACUGACCAUCGGCUGCCAGCGUGUCAACUCACCCAUCACUUUACUCAGGGUCCCUCUGAGGGUUCUUGUGCUCACUGGCCUCCAAGAUGUCCGGUUUCCCCAGGAUGAGGCUGUAGCCCCAUCCAGCCCAUUCCUGGAGGAGGACGAAGGUGGGAAGAAGGAUUCGUGGCUCACUGAGCUUGCUGGGGAGCGACUUAUGGCCGCCACGUCCUGCCGCAGCCUCCAUCUGUACAACAUCAGUGAUGGCCGAGGAAAAGUUGGGACAUUUGGCAUCUUCAAAUCUGUAUACAGACUUGGCGAGGACGUGGUGGGGACCUUAAACUUAGGGGAAGGAACUGUAGCUUGUUUGCAGUUCUCGGUGAGCUUACAGACGGAGGAGCGUGUGCAGCCUGAUUACCAGCGGCGUCGCGGGGCCGGAGGUGCCCCCUCGGUGUCCCACGUCACUCAUGCCCGGCACCAGGAGUCCUGCCUACACACGACCAGAACCAGCUUCUCUCUCCCCAUCCCGCUCAGCUCCACCCCAGGCUUCUGCACAGCCAUUGUGUCCCUGAAGUGGCGUUUGCAUUUUGAGUUUGUCACCUCCCGAGAACCUGGUUUGGUGCUCCUACCUCCCAUGGAGCAGCCCGAGCCCGCCACCUGGACGGGGCCUGAGCAAGUGCCCGUGGACACCUUCAGCUGGGACCUGCCCAUCAAGGUGCUGCCGACGAGCCCUGCCCUGGCCUCCUACGCGGCCCCCGGCCCCAGCACCAGCACUAUAACCAUCUGACCCUGGCCCACAGCCUUCUUCAGGAUCCUGAGAACUCAGCCCCUGGGCUCUGGGCUUUGCACAGAACAGAAGAGUUAAUCACUGGACAGGACAUUCGUGUGCUGUUAAGAUGCUGGAACUAGAAAUGACGAGAGUUCAUUGAAUGCAGUCACCUUCCCCCACUUCUUAUCUAUCAGUACAUCCAGAUCCUAGGCCUGCCUUUUCUUUCGGUUCAACCAAGCCCCCUGGUGUGGUUUUAACCUUUGCUAGUGAUUGAGGGGUAUUGAGUUAAGGGGAUGGGGGAAAGGAGAAGGGUAAGGGAAGGCAGGUGGAGAGGGAAGUUGGCAGAUUUACUUUGCUUUCUUCCCUUUCUGUGUUUGCAGAGAAAGCCUUUUCAGUGACUGACAGUUAAAAAAAAAAGACUAUAAUAAACGUUUGUGAGCCCACUUACAAAUAAAAACCUUAUCCCUCUGGCUGUUCUAACAACCUGCUCCUCUGAUGGAGAAGCUAUUCUUCCACUGUGUGCCUCAUAGAGUGUGGUCAGGGAGGCAUCUCUGUCCAUCUGCCUGCAUGCCUGUGUGCUGCCCUCUUUGGAAGGUCCAGACGCCAAUCAGAGUACAGGCCAGAAGUUCUUUGUUUUUUCACAGUGGGAAUUCUUUACUUUUGAAGCAUUAACCUGAUAAAAAAUACCUUUCUUCACUUUUUAACAUGGGCUUCCCUGGUGGCUCAGCUGGUAAAGAAUCUACCCGCAAUGCAGGUGACCUGGGUUUGAUCCCUGGGUUGGGAAGAUCCCUUAAAGAAGGGAAAGGCUACACCCCAGUAUUCUGGCCUGGAGAAUUCCAUGGACUCUGUAGUCCAUGCGGUCGCAAAGAGUUGGACAUGACUGAGCAGCUUUCACUUUCACUUUAACAUAGCUUAGGCCUGACUUUUUGAAAAUUAACUCCAGUUAAUCACAAGAGGGUGUACAAAUUCACACUCUAACUUCUGUGAAUUGCAAAGCAAAUUCCUUGAUUUUCUGCUGGUAAGAGAAUCUGUUCCUCUGAUAUGUUUCAGAGGCUGAUGGAUCAAGGAUACUCUUAUCCUACAAUGGACUGAUUAACCUUUGUAGUAACUUGUUGGCCAGCCACUAUUGAUAACAAAAAAGACAACUCCUUAACUGUUGUAAAAUAAUUAUUUUUUCAAUUUUAUUGAAAUAUAAUUUACAUAGAAGAUGUGCCCAUUUUAUUUAUUUUUUAAUUUUACUUUUUUGCUUAAAAAUUUUAAAUUGUCUAUCAAGUGAGUUUGACAGAAUUAUUGUUAGCUUUGUGACAAAAACAUGCUAGUAAUAUCUGGUGGCUCAUAGCCAACUUUUAGUGAUUAUAGUCUCUUUAUAUAAUUACUCACAGUAAUCCCUUUUAUAUAAGCAUCUUAAAAACCUGCUUCUCUCACUAACCAAGCCAGUUAGAAGAGUUUUAAAAGGACAACAGAUCUUUUUAAACUACAGAAGUAAUACACAUCUGUGAAAAAUGCAAACAAGAUGAACCCAUUUGAAAUGUGUGAUCAGUGAGUUUUGACAGGUAUCUACAUCUGUGUAAUCAUCUCUGCAGUCAAUAUGUAGAACAUUUCUGUCACCCUCCCAAAAUACUCCUUUGCCCAUUGCAAUCAUCUCUCUCUACCCACCCCAGACAUCCAGUGAUCAGAUUUCUCCAUAGAUCAGUUUUGCCUACUCUAGAGCUUUGUAUAAAUGGAAUCGUAUGGUAUGUAUCCUGUGUAUGGCUUCUUUAAUUCAGCGUUGUUUUUGAUAUCCAUCCAUGUUUCUGUGUAUAUCAAUAGUUCAUCCCUUCUGUUGUGGGGUAGUAUUUCAUUGUUGGAUAUACCACAGUUUAUCCAUUCACCUGUUGAUGGACAUUUGUUUCCACCUUCCAGUUUUGAACAUUCCCAUACAAGUCUUUGUAGAUAUGUAUGCACUUUCCUUGGACAGAUACCUUGGAGUGAAAUCUUAGGUCCUGUGGUAAGUGAAUGUUUAACUUGAUAAAGAAAAAACUGCCAAAUUUUUCCAAAGUGGCUGUACGAUUUUAUAGUUACCAGCAUUCUGUGAAAAUUCCAGGUUUCUGCAUCUCCUUCAGCACUUGGUAUUGCCAGUUAAAAAACAAUUAUUUUAGUAGGUGUGCAGUGGUAUCUCAUUGUGGUUUUAGUUUGCAUUUUCUCAAUGACUAAUGAUACUGAACAUCUUUUCAUGUGCUUGGUUGCCACCUAUCUUAAAUUUGGUGAAGUCUUCUUAAAUCUUUUGCCCACUUAAAGAAUUGGAAUGUUUGGCUUCUUGUUAUUGCAUUGUAAGAGUUAUUUAUAUAUUCUUUUUAUUAUAAAGGUUUUAAAAUAGUUUGGAUACAAGUCUUCUGUGAGUAUAUGAAUUGAAAGUAUUUGCCCAUGUUAGUGACUUGCCUUUUUUUUUUUUUUUUAUGGUAUCUUUUGAAGACCAGAAGUUUAAAUUUUUGAUGAAGUCUAAUUUCUUACUUUUUCCUUAUCUAGUUAGUCCUUUUUGUGCCCUGCAUAAAAAUUUUUUGUUUAUACCAAAGUCACAAAGAUUUUCUCCUGUGUUUUCCUCUAUAUGCAGAAGUUUUAUAGUUGUAACUUUCACAUUUGAGUCUGUUUAUGUUUAUGAUCCAUUUUGGUCACUUUGUCCUCACUGCACAGCAGAUGCAGCAGGAAAGGAAGAAUCUAAAAUAAA